CGAGGACGAACGCUGGCGGCGUGCUUCAUACAUGCAAGUCGAACGAUAAGGUCUCUUCGGAGAUACAUAAGUGGCGGACGGGUGAGUAAUAUGUAGAGAAUCUGCCCUAGAGUGAGGGACAACAGAGGGAAACUUCUGCUAAUACCUCAUAUGCGCGUAGCUGAGAUGCUAUUCGUGAAAACUCCGGUGCUCUAGGAUGAGUCUGCAUCUGAUUAGCUAGUUGGGGGUGUAAUGGACCACCAAGGCGACGAUCAGUAGCUGGUUUGAGAGGAUGAUCAGCCACAAUGGGACUGAGACACGGUCCAUACUCCUACGGGAGGCAGCAGUAGGGAAUUUUGCGCAAUGGGGGAAACCCUGACGCAAGCAACGCCGCGUGAUUGAAUAAGCCCUUCGGGGUGUAAAGAUCUGUCAGUGGGGACGAAACUUGACGGUACCCACAGAGGAAGCAUCGGCUAACUCCGUGCCAGCAGCGGC
Molecule: ribosomal RNA, 474 nt
Filed under: uncultured bacterium
Lineage: Bacteria
Description: bacterial SSU rRNA
Rfam family: Bacterial small subunit ribosomal RNA
Source: RNAcentral